Molecule: ribosomal RNA, 599 nt
Filed under: Lichtheimia corymbifera
Lineage: Eukaryota; Fungi; Mucoromycota; Mucoromycetes; Mucorales; Lichtheimiaceae
Description: eukaryotic LSU rRNA
Rfam family: Eukaryotic large subunit ribosomal RNA
Source: RNAcentral
GCUCAAAGUUGGAACCUGGCUGUCCUAGAUAGUCCGGAUUGUAAACUAAAGAGCGUGAAUCCAGGCAAGCCGGUUGAUCAAGUCCUUUGGAAUGAGGCGCCACUGAGGGUGAGAGCCCCGUAAAUCGACUGAGCAUUUGUCUUUUGUGUUUCGCGUUCAAAGAGUCAGGUUGUUUGGGAAUGCAGCCUAAAGCUGGUGGUAAAUCCCACCUAAAGCUAAAUACAGGCGAGAGACCGAUAGCGAACAAGUACCGUGAGGGAAAGAUGAAAAGUACUUUGAAAAGAGAGUUAAACAGUAUGUGAAAUUGCCAAGAGGGAAGCAUUUGGAGUUAGACUGACUUGGAGUUAAUCAGCUUGGUCUUUGGACUGGGUGUACUUGACUUCUAUGUCUGCCAAUAGCAGUUAGUCCUGGUGGAAAAAACUGAAGGGAAGGUAGUCCUUCGGGAUGUUUAUAGACCUUUGGAAAAUACACUGGGAUUGACUGAGGAAUGCAGUAGAUGCUAUUAAGGCUUCGUCUAGUAGGUGUUAGGUGAAGGUACUUGGUAUUUUCAGCUUGCUGAUGUGCUAGGUUACUUGAGCUUAAUUGCUUGCUAGAACUGU